UUUUAUGAGAGUUUGAUCCUGGCUCAGGACGAACGCUGGCGGCGUGCCUAAUACAUGCAAGUCGAACGCUUCUUUUUCCAACGGAGCUUGCUCCACCGGAAAAAGAAGAGUGGCGAACGGGUGAGUAACACGUGGGUAACCUGCCCAUCAGAAGGGGAUAACACUUGGAAACAGGUGCUAAUACCGUAUAACAAUCAAAACCGCAUGGUUUUGAUUUGAAAGGCGCUUUCGGGUGUCGCUGAUGGAUGGACCCGCGGUGCAUUAGCUAGUUGGUGAGGUAACGGCUCACCAAGGCCACGAUGCAUAGCCGACCUGAGAGGGUGAUCGGCCACAUUGGGACUGAGACACGGCCCAAACUCCUACGGGAGGCAGCAGUAGGGAAUCUUCGGCAAUGGACGAAAGUCUGACCGAGCAACGCCGCGUGAGUGAAGAAGGUUUUCGGAUCGUAAAAC
This 452-nucleotide ribosomal RNA is filed under the name Enterococcus faecium. Its description in RNAcentral is "bacterial SSU rRNA". It matches the Rfam family "Bacterial small subunit ribosomal RNA", at positions 1 to 431 of the family's 1533-position model. The record is from RNAcentral. Lineage: Bacteria; Bacillati; Bacillota; Bacilli; Lactobacillales; Enterococcaceae.